Non-coding RNA from Pelobates cultripes (western spadefoot toad), 469 nucleotides. The record is from the annotation of a GenBank genome assembly. Lineage: Eukaryota; Metazoa; Chordata; Amphibia; Anura; Pelobatidae.
CGAUUUGUUGCCUGUUUCCAUCCCUUUUGGGUUACUCGAGUGAACUGCAGCACAUAGCAUAUCAUAAGAAGAGAUAACACCACUCCUAUGCUUCAAUAAAGAGCUAGUUUGAUAGCGGUUUGCCAUGUAGGUGUGUAUUAUUACUAUUACCAGACACCUGCUCGAUUUACACCAAAUAUGUACGUAGGUACUCUGAUUUUUACAUAACUACUAAUCCUAUAACCAACAUAAGAUGUGUCACUUUGGCACAGGUUAAAUUCUGUGUUUAAGAGAAAGGGGCUGGUGUUAGUGUCAGCCCAUGGCUUAAUUUUGUGUCUUUGUAGGGGUCUACUCUGUUCUGGAGGGAUAAACAAGUAUUAAUGUGGGGGACAGCUGAAUUGCUAUCACUGAGAACAACCUUAUCAAGAGUCCCUUCUUCUGGUCAUGUUUGUGACUAUUUUAGACCUGCUGGACAUCCUGUUUAAUUAAU